Molecule: ribosomal RNA, 1640 nt
Filed under: uncultured bacterium
Lineage: Bacteria
Description: bacterial SSU rRNA
Rfam family: Bacterial small subunit ribosomal RNA
Source: RNAcentral
UGCUGCAGGUCGACGAUCACGGACCAGAGUUUGACCUGGCUCAGGAUGAACGCUGGCGGCGUGCCUAACACAUGCAAGUCGAGCGCGGUUAUUAUUCAACAUUGAGUAUUCUAUAAAAUAUAGUUAUAAUCGACAGCGAUUUCACUUUCUACCUUAAAAACUUAAAGAAGGGAAAGUGAAACACGCAUUAUUAAGUAACUAACUAACUAAAAACAUAGAGUAUUGAAUGUUGAAUAAUAACUGAGCGGCGGACGGGUGAGUAACGCGUGGGUAACCUGCCCUGUACAUAUGGAUAACAUGCUGAAAAGCAUACUAAUACAUAAUAACGUACAUUGAAGGCAUCUUCGAUGUAUCAAAGCGUUAGCGGUACAGGAUGGACCCGCGUCUGAUUAGCUAGUUGGUGGGGUAAAAGCCUACCAAGGCGACGAUCAGUAGCCGACCUGAGAGGGUGAUCGGCCACAUUGGAACUGAGACACGGUCCAAACUCCUACGGGAGGCAGCAGUGGGGGAUAUUGCACAAUGGGCGAAAGCUGAUGCAGCAACGCCGCGUGAACGAUGAAGGUCUUCGGAUCGUAAAGUUCUGUUGCAGGGGAAGAUAAUGACGGUACCCUGUGAGGAAGCACCGGCUAACUACGUGCCAGCAGCCGCGGUAAUACGUAGGGUGCUAGCGUUAUCCGGAUUUACUGGGCGUAAAGGGUGCGUAGGUGGUAUUUCAAGUCGGUGGUUAAAGGCUACGGCUCAACCGUAUUAAGCCGCCGAAACUGGAAGACUUGAGUGCAGGAGAGGAAAGUGGAAUUCUCAGUGUAGCGGUGAAAUGCGUAGAUAUUGGGAAGAACACCAGUAGCGAAGGCGGCUUUCUGGACUGCAACUGACACUGAGGCACGAAAGCGUGGGUAGCAAACAGGAUUAGAUACCCUGGUAGUCCACGCCGUAAACGAUGAGUACUAGGUGUCGGGGGUUACCCCCCUCGGUGCCGUAGUUAACGCAUUAAGUACUCCGCCUGGGGAGUACGCACGCAAGUGUGAAACUCAAAGGAAUUGACGGGGACCCGCACAAGUAGCGGAGCAUGUGGUUUAAUUCGAAGCAACGCGAAGAACCUUACCUAAGCUUGACAUCCCUCGGACCGGUAGUUAAUCCUACCUUCCUUCGGGGCUGAGGUGACAGGUGGUGCAUGGUUGUCGUCAGCUCGUGUCGUGAGAUGUUGGGUUAAGUCCCGCAACGAGCACAACCCUUGUCUUUAGUUGCCAGCAUUUAGUUGGGCACUCUAGAGAGACUGCCAGGGAUAACCUGGAGGAAGGUGGGGAUGACGUCAAAUCAUCAUGCCCCUUAUGCUUAGGGCUACACACGUGCUACAAUGGGUGGUACAGAGGGUUGCCAAACCGUGAGGUGGAGCUAAUCCCUUAAAGCCAUUCUCAGUUCGGAUUGUAGGCUGAAACUCGCCUACAUGAAGCUGGAGUUACUAGUAAUCGCAGAUCAGAAUGCUGCGGUGAGUGCGUUCCCGGGCCUUGUACACACCGCCCGUCACACCAUGGGAGUCGGAAACACCCGAAGCCGAUUAUCUAACCAUAAGGAAGAAGUCGUCGAAGGUGGCAUCGAUAACUGGGGUGAAGUCGUAACAAGGUAGCCGUAAGCUUCACAAU